AUCACUGCAAAAGUGCAAGACGUACGGUGGUGAGGUGGUGGCUAGCUACACGAAGUAGGCUACAACAAAGUUAGAAAAUCUAACGGUUAUGGCCAAGAAGGAGAUGUCCUGCCUUGGGAGUGAAUCAAAUGGAAAAGGGGGUGUCCUAGCUCCAGCUGCAAUGGUCGCUGACAUGCAUUGGACGCACCCAGUGAUGGGGAGUGCUGGUGGACAGGAUCUGCGCGUCCUAUCAGAAAGUGAGUCAGACCUUCGGCAGUGAGCCAGUCAAAGAAAUGAGUGAAGCGAUAGUGCCCGUCAUCCUGUCUAUCCUCCGCCAGCCCAGCGUAAAAGAGAGCGGAAAAGAACAACGACGAACCAUUGAAUCAACAGAGGACGUGUUGGCUCUCCAAUAAGAAGUUUUGCUGUAUCAGAGAUGUAGAAAUAGAUACAUUGCUUCAGAAAAUUAGAAAUAGAUAAAUUCGAAAUAGAAGUUACAUUGACAUUGACUGACGAGGUCCUUCCAUUUAAUAAAUACUAUUCGUCAUUAAAUGUGUAUUGCCAUUUCAUUUAUGACAUGCAAUCAAAUGAGUCGGACUGACUGUGAUUCAUAAUAGUGAUUUAAUCAUCUUCUGCAAUUUAGUUGUUGACCAUGGCGUAGCGCUCAGUGGAUAGCCUAGGCUUGCAGUACUGUAGCCUACGUCGUUCAUUGACUGCACGAGUUUUGCACAGACUGAA
Molecule: long non-coding RNA, 714 nt
Organism: Sardina pilchardus (European sardine)
Lineage: Eukaryota; Metazoa; Chordata; Actinopteri; Clupeiformes; Clupeidae
Exons: 4
Source: RefSeq, a predicted model, not a curated record